This 392-nucleotide long non-coding RNA is filed under the name Gossypium raimondii (Peruvian cotton). RNAcentral describes it as "long non-coding RNA (GRAI_LNC004376)". The record is from RNAcentral. Lineage: Eukaryota; Viridiplantae; Streptophyta; Magnoliopsida; Malvales; Malvaceae.
GAGUUGAUGAGCGGUAGAGGGUAGGUGCAGCACUAGGGUUAGGUGCAAUAGAAGCUAGGGUUUUCUGAAAAUGUUUUAGUUUUGGGCUUGUUGGGCCUUUAGUUUUUUUUUCUUUUUGGGCUGUAAUUUUAUUGUUUUGGGUUAGGUCUGUUUUAGGGUAUUGGGUUUGGUUUAAGGUUUGGGUAAUUGGGUUUUUGGGCCCUGUUUUUAUUUGGUGCGGGCCUGGGCAAAUUGGGUUGUACAGUUGCCCCUCUUUGCUCGUUGUCGUGUAACGAUAACAGAGCAAAGACUAAGAAAGACCAAUUUUGCCCGGUCUCGCCGAGUCUUUUCUUAUUUGAUACUUUUCUUUUCAACUAGUCUCAUUCCAAUCCACUGUGUCUUGUCGCUUCAAU